AGUUGAUCCUGGCUAGGACGAACGCUGGCGGCGUGCCUAAUACAUGCAAGUGGAACGCAUGAUUGAUACCGUAGCUUGCUACACCAUUAAUCAUGAGUCGCGAACGGGUGAGUAACGCGUAGGUAACCUGCCUACUAGCGGGGGAUAACUAUUGGAAACGAUAGCUAAUACCGCAUAAGAGUUUUUAACACAUGUUAGAAAUUUAAAAGGAGCAAAUGCUUCACUAGUAGAUGGACCUGCGUUGUAUUAGCUAGUUGGUAAGGUAACGGCUUACCAAGGCGACGAUACAUAGCCGACCUGAGAGGGUGAUCGGCCACACUGGGACUGAGACACGGCCCAGACUCCUACGGGAGGCAGCAGUAGGGAAUCUUCGGCAAUGGGGGGAACCCUGACCGAGCAACGCCGCGUGAGUGAAGAAGGUUUUCGGAUCGUAAAGCUCUGUUGUAAGAGAAGAACGUUGAGUAGAGUGGAAAGUUACUCAAGUGACGGUAUCUUACCAGAAAGGGACGGCUAACUACGUGCCAGCAGCGGC
Molecule: ribosomal RNA, 532 nt
Filed under: uncultured bacterium
Lineage: Bacteria
Description: bacterial SSU rRNA
Rfam family: Bacterial small subunit ribosomal RNA
Source: RNAcentral